RNAcentral lists this long non-coding RNA (962 nucleotides) under Apteryx owenii (little spotted kiwi). Its description in RNAcentral is "lncRNA (ENSAOWG00000002391.1)". The record is from RNAcentral. Lineage: Eukaryota; Metazoa; Chordata; Aves; Apterygiformes; Apterygidae.
GCCGCGCCGUGGCGAGGAGCAUGGACCCCCGCGGCGGCCGCGGCUGGAUCUGCCUGGCGGUGCUGUGCUCCGGAGCCGCUCUCGUCCUCGUAGGAGAGGAGCAGGGAGGCCAAAGCCUCCAGCAGCCCGACGGCGUCCUGGGGCCUGAGGGGGCCCCCAACUCCACCGCCGGGGAAGGGGAUGAGCCGGCGGCGUGGACGUUGGUCCCCCCGGGGGACGGGGCCGCUGACCCCUCCGCCCCGCCGACGGGAGCGGGUGCCGCGGGGAACAAGAGCCAAAACGCGUCGGCCGUUCCCGUGCGGUACUGGUCCCCGGUCAUUUUUGUGGCCGUUGCUUUGCUCGUGCUCUUCCUGACCUACAGGAGGACCAAGGGGGAAGAAAGCGGCAACCAAGUGGCCUCGAGCAGCGACUCCUCGGACUUGGGAGAAGCAGCCACCGUCCCCAUCCAUGACAGGGCCCCAAUAAUCCCUCCUGCCAGGGAGGAGCGAAAGGGGCCGGAGAAACCCCCAACCCAGGACCUGAGGGAAACCAUCCUCGGCGAGGAGGAUGCUCCCCCGCCGCAGCUGCUGCCGGCCCAGCCCGUUGCACCUGUGGCCACCGGCAGCUCCCGCUGCUCCGGAGCGCCUGGCGCUGACUGAGGGCUCCCAGCACGGCCGAAGCCCGCGGAGAAACCAGCAGCUUCGAAACGCCCCGAGGAGGCGGUGAGGCUGGGUCACACGCGCGGUGAGGAUGCUCCUGGCUGGCGACGAGGCCUCGCCGCCUCCUCGGCCCUUCCCGGCCCGCGGGCGCUGGAGCAUGUGCCAAACCCUGGCAGGACGGGAGCCAGCGCGUGGCACGGCCAUGCACAACGUGGCCGCGCGUGGCAUGGCCGUGCACGUGCAUUUUCUAAUGCGCAUGCAAGGACAGGGGUUGGAUGGUCAGCGACGUGCACGGUCAAGCCAAUAAAGCAGGGUUUCACCCCA